Molecule: ribosomal RNA, 440 nt
Filed under: Escherichia coli
Lineage: Bacteria; Pseudomonadati; Pseudomonadota; Gammaproteobacteria; Enterobacterales; Enterobacteriaceae
Description: bacterial SSU rRNA
Rfam family: Bacterial small subunit ribosomal RNA
Source: RNAcentral
AUUGAACGCUGGCGGCAGGCCUAACACAUGCAAGUCGAACGGUAACAGGAAGAAGCUUGCUUCUUUGCUGACGAGUGGCGGACGGGUGAGUAAUGUCUGGGAAACUGCCUGAUGGAGGGGGAUAACUACUGGAAACGGUAGCUAAUACCGCAUAACGUCGCAAGACCAAAGAGGGGGACCUUCGGGCCUCUUGCCAUCGGAUGUGCCCAGAUGGGAUUAGCUAGUAGGUGGGGUAACGGCUCACCUAGGCGACGAUCCCUAGCUGGUCUGAGAGGAUGACCAGCCACACUGGAACUGAGACACGGUCCAGACUCCUACGGGAGGCAGCAGUGGGGAAUAUUGCACAAUGGGCGCAAGCCUGAUGCAGCCAUGCCGCGUGUAUGAAUGAAGGCCUUCGGGUUGUAAAGUACUUUCAGCGGGGGGGAAGGGAGUAAAGUUAU